AGCGAAUAGAUACCCAGGUAGUCCACGCCGUAAACGUUGGGCGCUAGGUGUGGGGGCCAUUCCACGGUCUCCGUGCCGCAGCUAAACGCAUUAAGCGCCCCGCCUGGGGAGUACGGCCGCAAGGCUAAAACUCAAAGGAAUUGACGGGGGCCCGCACAAGCGGCGGAGCAUGUUGCUUAAUUCGAUGCAACGCGAAGAACCUUACCUAGGCUUGACAUGCACGGAAAUCUCGCAGAGAUGCGGGGUGCCUUUGGCGUCGUGCACAGGUGGUGCAUGGUUGUCGUCAGCUCGUGUCGUGAGAUGUUGGGUUAAGUCCCGCAACGAGCGCAACCCUCGUUCCAUGUUGCCAGCACGUAAUGGUGGGGACUCAUGGGAGACUGCCGGGGUCAACUCGGAGGAAGGUGGGGAUGACGUCAAAUCAUCAUGCCCCUUAUGUCUAGGGCUGCAAACAUGCUACAAUGGCCGGUACAAAGGGCUGCGAUACCGUGAGGUGGAGCGAAUCCCAAAAACG
Molecule: ribosomal RNA, 511 nt
Filed under: uncultured bacterium
Lineage: Bacteria
Description: bacterial SSU rRNA
Rfam family: Bacterial small subunit ribosomal RNA
Source: RNAcentral